ACUCCUACGGGAGGCAGCAGUGGGGAAUAUUGCACAAUGGGCGCAAGCCUGAUGCAGCCAUGCCGCGUGUGUGAAGAAGGCCUUGGGUUGUAAAGCACUUUCAGUCGUGAGGAAGGCGGGUACGUUAAUAGCGUAUUCGUUUGACGUUAGCGACAGAAGAAGCACCGGCUAACUCCGUGCCAGCAGCCGCGGUAAUACGGAGGGUGCGAGCGUUAAUCGGAAUUACUGGGCGUAAAGCGCAUGCAGGUGGUUUGUUAAGUCAGAUGUGAAAGCCCGGGGCUCAACCUCGGAAUUGCAUUUGAAACUGGCAAACUAGAGUACUGUAGAGGGGGUAGAAUUUCAGGUGUAGCGGUGAAAUGCGUAGAGAUCUGAAGGAAUACCGGUGGCGAAGGCGGCCCCUGGACAGAUACUGACACUCAGAUGCGAAAGCGUGGGAGCAAACAGGAUUAGAUACCCCGUGGUAGGACAGUG
Molecule: ribosomal RNA, 471 nt
Filed under: uncultured bacterium
Lineage: Bacteria
Description: bacterial SSU rRNA
Rfam family: Bacterial small subunit ribosomal RNA
Source: RNAcentral